Camelus dromedarius (Arabian camel) is the source of this 3753-nucleotide long non-coding RNA. RefSeq lists it as uncharacterized. The transcript is spliced from 2 exons. NCBI's taxonomy places the organism in Eukaryota, Metazoa, Chordata, Mammalia, Artiodactyla, Camelidae. The record is from RefSeq and is a predicted model, not a curated record.
UGCCUGCGACCCCGGAAGCGGAAGGCUGGCGGGGGGGCGCGGUUGGUCACCUCCCCGCACGGCCGCCCAGCCCGGCUCGGGGCAUUCGGAGGGACCGCCGGGGCUGGAGCCGACGUGCGGCUCCCCGCCGCGGGCCGGGAGUGAGAGCCGAGCGCUCCCCGGCAGCCUGCCCCGCGGAAGCGAGCGGGCGUUUCCUCCCAGACGGGGAUGCUCACGCGCCUCCGUCGCCGGCGCCCAAGGGGGACGGAGGGGCAGGAAGGAGGGGCGUGUUGGAACGUUCCCUUCCGUGCUAGAAAGCAACGCCGAGCACAGACCUCGGAGCCACACGCAGCCGGGCUGCAGGGUGCGGGGACACCCAGCGGGGCCUCGGCCCGGACGCGGAAGGCAAAGAAAAGGGGAGCAGGGUGCCCGGAAGCCGGAGGCUCGUCGGGUUCCUUUUGUUGUCUGGGCAGAAAUUUACUCUUACUGAAGAGUAGGUCGGCCGGCAACUUGUCUAGGGAUGUUUUGGGGGUUUUCGUUUGCGGCUGUUCCAGCUGGGGAGGGGUCCAAACAGCAGCACCCCGCCGAGGAGAAGCGCCGUAGGGAAGGGAGUGGCACCUGCGGUCUCACCGUCAAUGACUCGUUAGUGUAGGAUGCCGGUCCAGCACGUGAGAAUGUCACCCAGUGAAGCAGUGUUGAGGGCAGGCACAAUCGGAGACUUGAAACAGGUCCAUUUUCUCCUGAACAUUCUGAUGGUGAGAAGACAGACAACCUUGAGUACAGGGACAGAGACCUACUCGUUGUGCCUCCCAGCCUCGGAAGCCCCUUCCAGCAGAAGCUAAAAACCCCAGAUGGUCGCUUUCCCAGCCUUCCUAGUGGCUGCGGAGUGAACUUGGCCAGAGUUCAGGCCAUUCGGCAAAAUCGGGAGCCAGCAGUUGCAGGAAAGCGAGAAGCCCAGGAACCUGGUGUUCGCGGUGAUGACGGCCGCAGCGACAUGGAAUUUCCAGAGGCAGGGGGGAGGCCCGGCUUCCUGGCUCUUCACCGGUUUGGGGCUGUGAUACGUGUCCAGCUGUUGUUCUCGUUGCUCCCUUGUACCUGCUGUCCCUGGCGUUAUGCCGCAUUCUCUUUGGGAAUUCUGUGAGCUCGUUCUUUCAGCUUAGACCCAGCAGAGCGCAUCUGUACUGUGUACAAUUGUCUAAGACAUGCUGUGCUUAAAAUCUUCUUUUUAAAGACUGAAAGGAGUUUGGGUCAGCGAAAGAACAGGGUAUUAAAAAACAGAAAAUGAAAGACAGCAAAAAUUCCAUGAUGCUACAUUUUUAGAGUGUAGGAAGGUAACAUGGUGGGAUUUUCUCGUUUGGUUACCUUCCUGUGUGUUUGAAUCCUUGUUGAGGGCCGGGUCUGGUCUAUCCUGGACGGGAGGGAGGAUGUGGAAACCAGACCCAGUGGAGGACUCCAUGCCCCCUGAAUUCCCCCGGAGACACCUUUCUAAAACAAAGCAGUGGGGGCAUUAGGUGGAGAGGCCUCUCGGAGCUGCUUAGCAGAGCCAAGGAGAGAGGCCUGGGACACUGCUGUGGUAAUGAUGGCAGGGGUGAGUUAGAGUUUAAGGGCAGGGAAAGGGGUGACAUGACUCCAGGGCUCCUACGCUGGGAGGGCGUGUUUCCCUGAAGGCUGGUGCCACCUGGAGGGGUGUUAGUAUCUGAACCAGUUGAGUACCGGGGAUGGAAGCACUGGACCUGGCGGAGGUGUGGGUGCCAGAGCCCUUCCCUGGGGGUUGAGGGGGUCCCUGGGCCCUCGGUCUGUGGGGCUCGGGCAGACCUGGGCCGGCACUACACCCUGGGUCCCGUUUAUCACCGGGGACCGAGGUUUUUCACUCCUCUUGCCCACUUACCUCAGAAAUAUUUACCUUUGGUCUAUUAAUGAAACGAAAGGCAGGAGAAUUGUCUCUGGUAGGUGUGAAACUAGUAUUACUGAAUAACAUGUCAGAAAAACAAAACAGUACACUUUCAAGUGAAAUACACACUUAACAAGAAGAAGUGAGACUGUCAUAUGAUACUGUGAAAACUCAGCCUCUCCUUUGGGACAGGUAGAUGGCUUGUACUCCUCUUGCUGUUUAAAAUGAUGCCACUGAGAACGUCUCGUGUACACGUUUCCUGCGCCUCUCGGAUCACUUCCUUUUGAUAGAUUCCUUGAAAUGCUUAAACCACGGUACGCUGCUUUUUAGACGCUUACAAAAAAGGAACCCUCGUAAAAAAGAACCAAAACUUCUUUCCUAGAAAGUUGAUUAAAUCAAGGGGUCCAAGUCAUUGUGGCGCGUGAACUUGUGUGGUCUCAGUCACACUCACCAGCCGCCAUCUGUAACCCUGGGUCUGGGGCUGUGGCUCAGGUCUGAGUGUGUCUGGGACACGAGAGGUGGUGAACCAGAGACACCCGCUCACCUCGCAGACGUGGGCCGGGGCCUGGAGGCCUGGAGGGAGCAGUGGGCUGGGACCUUUGUCCUGGACGCUGCGUGGUCGUGGUCAGCAUCCGUUAAUCGGGGCCUCGCCUGUUCUUAACGACAGAAGUUUAGGACCAGGACGGAGACGCCAGGAGAGGCCACAGUGAACACGACUCCAGCUAGGAGCCUAAAAUCAGCAUCUUGCCGUCAUUUUCUCCAGGUCAAGUCAGAUAAAGCACCUUGUUCAUUUUCUUUUUUCUUGUAACUUUUACCUUUUCAAAUCAACUUUAUUAAGGUCAGUUUAUGAAAGAGACAUACACCAUUUUGAUAUCUUGACGAAUGUGAGGUGAGAGGAAGAGCAAAUGGCGCUGGUGCUGCCCAGAGAGCCCCUGAAACAACCGGGGUCCCCGGGGAGCAGGGCUCGUGCGCCCCUCAGCCUGGCUGGGACCCGAACUCUGACCGCCCGGCUUGGCACAGGCGUCCAGGGCACCUGCACAACGUUCCAGAGGCUCAAGACUCUUGUCGGCCCCUCGCCCUAAGCUGUGGCAGCCCGUCCUUUCUGGGUUUAUGGUUUUAGCUUCUACAAUUAGGCCUGUGAUCAAAUUAAAUUUUGCACAUGGUGUGAGGUGAGAGUCAGUGUUCAUCCCUCCCAUAUGGAUAGCUACUUGGUGAAAAGACUUUUUCUCACCCAUUAAAUCACCUUGGCAUCCUUACCGGAAGUGGCUCGGCCCCGUGUGCGUGGGUGUAUUUGGUGCCCGGUUCCAUUCAGGUGAUGUGCCUCGUAUUUCAGCAGCACCGCGGUGUCUUCAUCACUGUAGCCUUGAGAUAAACCUUGAAACUCGGUCGAGUAAGUUCUCCAACUGCUCCUGUAAAAACUGCUACGGCCUUUUGGAUUUCCAUAUGCAUUUUAGACUCAGCUUAUCAUUUUUUUAUAAAGGAGAAGAGCCUGCUGGAACUUGGGUGGAUGCAGGAGAAAAGCGACGUCUUAGCAGUGUUGGGUCUCGCGGUGACGUGCGGCAGCUCUCCACUGAUCUCAGUGUUCUUCCCAUUUUUUAUCAAUGCGUCAUAGUUUUCAGUGUUUGUCAUUUUGUAUAGUUUGUAAUCUAUCUCUAGGUCGCACAUUUGGGGACUCUGUUUCAGAGGGGGUUGUACUUUUAAAUUUUAUUUCUAGUUGUCUGCUGCUGGAACACAGAGGCGCGGUCGAUCUUGUUUAGUGACCCUGCGUCUCCUGAUGGUGCUGAGUUGGCUUCUUGGUUCUCGCCGUGUAUUUUGAAGAUCUCUUCAUGUGUUCUGCCGGUGUGAUCGCGUCAUGUGUGAAUAAAGACUUUCUUGUGUCUUCA